UCGCACAUAAGCUGGUCAUUUUGUUGUUGAGACACAAUUCCGGGGAGGUUUUGUAACAAGCAUGUAGUGGCAAGCUCAAUCGAGGAUGGGGAAAUGGACAUUAGGUUUGUGAAAAAGGACACUGCCUCCGCUCCAAUGGCUUGGUCAUCCUCAACAUAGGCACCCUGUGAGUUUUUUAUCCGGCAGAUUGAGAGCUUUGCAUGCUUG
This 207-nucleotide long non-coding RNA is filed under the name Coffea arabica (coffee). RNAcentral describes it as "long non-coding RNA (CARA_LNC005343)". The record is from RNAcentral. Lineage: Eukaryota; Viridiplantae; Streptophyta; Magnoliopsida; Gentianales; Rubiaceae.